AUUGAACGCUGGCGGCAGGCCUAACACAUGCAAGUCGAACGAGUGGCGGACGGGUGAGUAAUGUCUGGGAAACUGCCUGAUGGAGGGGGAUAACUACUGGAAAAGGUAGAUAAUGCCGCAUACCAUCAGAUGUGCCCAGGUUGGAUGAGCUAGUUGGGGGGGUAACGGCUCACCAAGGCGACGCUCCCUAGCUGGUCUGAGAGGAUGACCAGCCACACUGGAACUGAGACACGGUCCAGACUCCUACGGGAGGCAGCAGUGGGGAAUAUUGGACAAUGGGCGCAAGCCUGACCGAGCCAUGCCGCGUGUAUGAAGAAGGUUUUCGGGUUGUAAAGUACUUUCAGCGGGGAGGCGUUACCCGCAGAAGAAGCACCGGCUAACUCCGUGCCAGCAGCCGCGGUAAUAC
Molecule: ribosomal RNA, 406 nt
Filed under: uncultured bacterium
Lineage: Bacteria
Description: partial 16S ribosomal RNA
Rfam family: Bacterial small subunit ribosomal RNA
Source: RNAcentral